UGGCUCAGUGGUUAAGAGCACUGGCUGCUCUUUCAGAGGUCCUGGGUUCAAUUCCCAG
Molecule: transfer RNA, 58 nt
Filed under: Rattus norvegicus (Norway rat)
Lineage: Eukaryota; Metazoa; Chordata; Mammalia; Rodentia; Muridae
Rfam family: tRNA
About the family: Transfer RNA (tRNA) molecules are approximately 80 nucleotides in length. Their secondary structure includes four short double-helical elements and three loops (D, anti-codon, and T loops). Further hydrogen bonds mediate the characteristic L-shaped molecular structure. tRNAs have two regions of fundamental functional importance: the anti-codon, which is responsible for specific mRNA codon recognition, and the 3' end, to which the tRNAs corresponding amino acid is attached (by aminoacyl-tRNA synthetases). tRNAs cope with the degeneracy of the genetic code in two manners: having more than one tRNA (with a specific anti-codon) for a particular amino acid; and 'wobble' base-pairing, i.e. permitting non-standard base-pairing at the 3rd anti-codon position.
Source: Rfam by way of RNAcentral